Molecule: long non-coding RNA, 593 nt
Organism: Mesocricetus auratus (golden hamster)
Lineage: Eukaryota; Metazoa; Chordata; Mammalia; Rodentia; Cricetidae
Exons: 2
Source: RefSeq, a predicted model, not a curated record
GUCCUGUCUGAGCCCUGGGACUCCAGUCAGGAGUGUCUUUUUUUAUUCCUUGGAAACACAGCUACCUCCACCCCAGCUCAGCACUUGCCUGGCUCGUAUAGCCAGGUUGGGCAGCCAGGCCUCUCAUUACCUGGCCUCGGGCCUUGGGGGGGUGGAUGGCCCAGCCAUGCAGCCUGCCAGGACGAGGGAGGCUGGGAUCCCCGUGCUAGGCUCAGCAGAAAUGAAGACGUUCUAAAGAGACACCCUGGCCUCUCCAUCUGAUCAUCAGACCGUUGAAGGUGGAUCCCAAAGAGAUGGGAAUCUCAUGCCAGGAGAAGGAAGAGGUCCCAGCCAGAGGAGGAAGUUGCCAACCUGAACAGAAUUUCGCACAGUUCUAACUGCUUGUCUAACAACCUUGCAGGAAGAGAAUGGAGCCCAGGAAAAGAUGGGCCACUGUGGGAGGGACUAGACCUUGACCAUGGCUGCUUAGAUGUGCAUAUCCUUAGCCAUCUAUUUAAGUUUUAUUCAUUUCAGGACCCUAAAGACUGGUUUGGGGAUGGUUUAAAUCUCUGCCCCUCUUCCCAGUGGAGCCACGAUAAAUAAGCCUUCUCUAU